GGUAGUCCACGCCGUAAACGAUGUCGACUUGGAGGUUGUGCCCUUGAGGCGUGGCUUCCGGAGCUAACGCGUUAAGUCGACCGCCUGGGGAGUACGGCCGCAAGGUUAAAACUCAAAUGAAUUGACGGGGGCCCGCACAAGCGGUGGAGCAUGUGGUUUAAUUCGAUGCAACGCGAAGAACCUUACCUGGUCUUGACAUCCAGAGAAUCCUGCAGAGAUGCGGGAGUGCCUUCGGGAACUCUGAGACAGGUGCUGCAUGGCUGUCGUCAGCUCGUGUUGUGAAAUGUUGGGUUAAGUCCCGCAACGAGCGCAACCCUUAUCCUUUGUUGCCAGCGGUUCGGCCGGGAACUCAAAGGAGACUGCCGGUGAUAAACCGGAGGAAGGUGGGGAUGACGUCAAGUCAUCAUGGCCCUUACGACCAGGGCUACACACGUGCUACAAUGGCGCAUACAAAGAGAAGCGACCUCGCGAGAGCAAGCGGACCUCAUAAAGUGCGUCGUAGUCCGGAUUGGAGUCUGCAACUCGACUCCAUGAAGUCGGAAUCGCUAGUAAUCGUGGAUCAGAAUGCCACGGUGAAUACGUUCCCGGGCCUUGUACACACCGCCCGUCACACCAUGGGAGUGGGUUGCAAAAGAAGUAGGUAGCUUAACCUUCGGGAGGGCGCUUACCACUUUGUGAUUCAUGACUGGGGUGAAGUCGUAACAAGGUAACC
RNAcentral lists this ribosomal RNA (712 nucleotides) under uncultured bacterium. RNAcentral describes it as "bacterial SSU rRNA". It matches the Rfam family "Bacterial small subunit ribosomal RNA", at positions 789 to 1501 of the family's 1533-position model. The record is from RNAcentral.